GAUCAGCUCAGGACGAACGCUGGCGGCGUGCUUAACACAUGCAAGUCGAACGGAGCACCCUUGACUGAGGUUUCGGCCAAAUGAUAGGAAUGCUUAGUGGCGGACUGGUGAGUAACGCGUGAGGAACCUGCCUUUCAGAGGGGGACAACAGUUGGAAACGACUGCUAAUACCGCAUGAUGCGUAACUGGGACAUCCCGGAUACGCCAAAGAUUUUAUCGCUGAAAGAUGGCCUCGCG
This 237-nucleotide ribosomal RNA is filed under the name uncultured bacterium. RNAcentral's name for it is "partial 16S ribosomal RNA". It matches the Rfam family "Bacterial small subunit ribosomal RNA", at positions 15 to 235 of the family's 1533-position model. The record is from RNAcentral.